Molecule: ribosomal RNA, 253 nt
Filed under: uncultured bacterium
Lineage: Bacteria
Description: partial 16S ribosomal RNA
Rfam family: Bacterial small subunit ribosomal RNA
Source: RNAcentral
UACGUAGGGCGCAAGCGUUGUCCGGAAUGACUGGGCGUAAAGGGCGCGUAGGCGGCUCAUACAGUCAGAUGUGAAAUUCCUGGGCUUAACCUGGGGGCUGCAUUUGAUACGUGUGGGCUUGAGUGGGGAAGAGGGUCGUGGAAUUCCCAGUGUAGAGGUGAAAUUCGUAGAUAUUGGGAAGAACACCGGUGGCGAAGGCGGCGACCUGGUCCUUGACUGACGCUGAGGCGCGAAAGCGUGGGGAGCAAACAGG